UACGUAGGGUGCGAGCGUUGUCCGGAAUUAUUGGGCGUAAAGGGCUCGUAGGCGGUUUGUCGCGUCGGGAGUGAAAACCAUGGGCCUAACUCAUGGCUUGCUUCCGAUACGGGCAGACUAGAGGCAUGCAGGGGAGAACGGAAUUCCUGGUGUAGCGGUGAAAUGCGCAGAUAUCAGGAGGAACACCGGUGGCGAAGGCGGUUCUCUGGGCAUGUCCUGACGCUGAGGAGCGAAAGUGUGGGGAGCAAACAGG
RNAcentral lists this ribosomal RNA (253 nucleotides) under uncultured bacterium. Its description in RNAcentral is "partial 16S ribosomal RNA". It matches the Rfam family "Bacterial small subunit ribosomal RNA", at positions 524 to 776 of the family's 1533-position model. The record is from RNAcentral.